Molecule: ribosomal RNA, 468 nt
Filed under: uncultured bacterium
Lineage: Bacteria
Description: partial 16S ribosomal RNA
Rfam family: Bacterial small subunit ribosomal RNA
Source: RNAcentral
GACGAACGCUGGCGGCGUGCUUAACACAUGCAAGUCGAACGGAAAGGCCCUGCUUUUGUGGGGUGCUCGAGUGGAGAACGGGUGAGUAACACGUGAGUAACCUGCCCUUGACUUUGGGAUAACUUCAGGAAACUGGGGCUAAUACCGGAUAGGAGCUCCUGCUGCAUGGUGGGGGUUGGAAAGUUUCGGCGGUUGGGGAUGGACUCGCGGCUUAUCAGCUUGUUGGUGGGGUAGUGGCUUACCAAGGCUUUGACGGGUAGCCGGCCUGAGAGGGUGACCGGCCACAUUGGGACUGAGAUACGGCCCAGACUCCUACGGGAGGCAGCAGUGGGGAAUAUUGCACAAUGGGCGGAAGCCUGAUGCAGCAACGCCGCGUGCGGGAUGACGGCCUUCGGGUUGUAUACCGCUUUCGCCUGUGACGAAGCGUGAGUGACGGUAAUGGGUAAAGAAGCACCGGCUAACUACGUG